ACCAACCGCCAACGCCGCUGCCGCGCCGCGCUGCGCUGCGCUGCGAUAAACUCGCGCCGGUCGCUGGUUCGCAGCGACCUCCUCACUACCGUCGUCAUUACCUAGCCUGUGUCCUCUGGUCAACUCGUCUCCGUGAGACGCCAGUGGAUAGCCACUGCUCGGAUCAGGGCAGUCGACAGUUCCCGACACAACGUCUGCCACGUGUAGCUGACGAUGAGACUAUCGGCAAAGGAACGUCUGUGCUGAAGAGCUUCGGUGCUCAGGACUCUGCGCUCUUAUACCUGUCUGCUGCCGCCAGCAUCCGCAUCUAGGGACUGUUGCACGGUACCCAGCCUCAAUUAGGUGGAGUGUCUGAGGAAUUUAUCGGAGGCCAGGCAGGGCGGGCCGUGGUCGACGCUGGCUGCGGGCAGCUGGGCGGCAGCAGAGCAG
Schistocerca americana (American grasshopper) is the source of this 429-nucleotide long non-coding RNA. RefSeq lists it as uncharacterized. The record is from RefSeq and is a predicted model, not a curated record. The transcript has 3 exons. Lineage: Eukaryota; Metazoa; Arthropoda; Insecta; Orthoptera; Acrididae.